GGGCGAUUAGCUCAGUAGGAUAGAGCGUUGGCCUCCGGAGCCAAAGGUCAGGGGUUCGAAUCCCCUAUCGCCCUCCA
RNAcentral lists this transfer RNA (77 nucleotides) under Candidatus Desulfofervidus auxilii. RNAcentral describes it as "tRNA-Arg". It matches the Rfam family "tRNA". From Rfam's summary of the family: Transfer RNA (tRNA) molecules are approximately 80 nucleotides in length. Their secondary structure includes four short double-helical elements and three loops (D, anti-codon, and T loops). Further hydrogen bonds mediate the characteristic L-shaped molecular structure. tRNAs have two regions of fundamental functional importance: the anti-codon, which is responsible for specific mRNA codon recognition, and the 3' end, to which the tRNAs corresponding amino acid is attached (by aminoacyl-tRNA synthetases). tRNAs cope with the degeneracy of the genetic code in two manners: having more than one tRNA (with a specific anti-codon) for a particular amino acid; and 'wobble' base-pairing, i.e. permitting non-standard base-pairing at the 3rd anti-codon position. Lineage: Bacteria; Pseudomonadati; Thermodesulfobacteriota; Candidatus Desulfofervidia; Candidatus Desulfofervidales; Candidatus Desulfofervidaceae. RNAcentral also lists the same sequence under 2 other names. The record is from RNAcentral.